AUUGAACGCUGGCGGCAGGCCUAACACAUGCAAGUCGAGCGGAUGAAGGGAGCUUGCUCCUGGAUUCAGCGGCGGACGGGUGAGUAAUGCCUAGGAAUCUGCCUGGUAGUGGGGGAUAACGUCCGGAAACGGCGCUAAUACCGCAUACGUCCUGAGGGAGAAAGUGGGGGAUCUUCGGACCUCACGCUAUCAGAUGAGCCUAGGUCGGAUUAGCUAGUUGGUGGGGUAAAGGCCUACCAAGGCGACGAUCCGUAACUGGUCUGAGAGGAUGAUCAGUCACACUGGAACUGAGACACGGUCCAGACUCCUACGGGAGGCAGCAGUGGGGAAUAUUGGACAAAGGGCGAAAGCCUGAUCCAGCCAUGCCGCGUGUGUGAAGAAGGUCUUCGGAUUGUAAAGCACUUUAAGUUGGGAGGAAGGGCAGUAAGUUAAUACCUUGCUGUUUUGACGUUACCAACAGAAUAAGCACCGGCUAACUUCGUG
RNAcentral lists this ribosomal RNA (483 nucleotides) under uncultured bacterium. Its description in RNAcentral is "partial 16S ribosomal RNA". It matches the Rfam family "Bacterial small subunit ribosomal RNA", at positions 30 to 507 of the family's 1533-position model. The record is from RNAcentral.